UCAGGUCUGAAUGCUGGUGCUUUUUAUGCCUUGUCCACUCUUCUGAAUCGCAUGGUGAUCUGGCACUACCCGGGGGAAGAAGUGAAUGCUGGAAGAAUUGGCCUGACGAUCGUCAUUGCAGGAAUGCUUGGGGCUGUGAUCUCAGGAAUCUGGCUGGAUAGGUCCAAAACCUACAAGAAUCUGUGCCAUCCAAAUUGCUUGAUCCAGUGAAUCUGCUAGGAAAGGUCUCUGAGGCCCCCGUCUGCUGACUGCAUGACAAACCCUAAAGGAAAUGCCAAUCGUGAUG
RNAcentral lists this small RNA (286 nucleotides) under Pan troglodytes (chimpanzee). RNAcentral's name for it is "processed transcript". The record is from RNAcentral. Lineage: Eukaryota; Metazoa; Chordata; Mammalia; Primates; Hominidae.